This 468-nucleotide ribosomal RNA is filed under the name uncultured bacterium. RNAcentral describes it as "bacterial SSU rRNA". It matches the Rfam family "Bacterial small subunit ribosomal RNA", at positions 329 to 793 of the family's 1533-position model. The record is from RNAcentral.
UGCCAGACUCCUACGGGAGGCAGCAGUGAGGAAUAUUGGUCAAUGGGCGCGAGCCUGAACCAGCCAAGUCGCGUGAGGGAUGACGGUCCUACGGAUUGUAAACCUCUUUUGCCGGGGAGCAAGCGUGCGUUCGUGAACGCGCGUCGAGAGUACCCGGAGAAAAAGCAUCGGCUAACUCCGUGCCAGCAGCCGCGGUAAUACGGAGGAUGCGAGCGUUAUCCGGAAUCACUGGGCGUAAAGGGCGCGUAGGCGGUAAUAUAAGUCAGAUGUGAAAGGUGGGGGCUCAACCCCUAGAGUGCAACUGAUACUGUAUAACUUGAGUGUGAGAGAGGGAAGCGGAAUUCCUAGUGUAGCGGUGAAAUGCGUAGAUAUUAGGAGGAACACCAGUGGCGAAGGCGGCUUUCUGGCUCAUAACUGACGCUGAGGCGCGAAAGCGUGGGGAGCAAACAGGAUUAGAUACCCCAGUAA